UAGCCUGAAGAUGAGCUCGCGUCCGAUUAGCUAGUUGGCGGAGUAAAAGCCCACCAAGGCGACGAUCGGUAGCUGGUCUGAGAGGACGAUCAGCCACACUGGGACUGAGACACGGCCCAGACUCCUACGGGAGGCAGCAGUGGGGUCAGUGACGAAGCCUUCGGGGUGACCCGGGGUAGAACGACCUCUAGUGCAGAUCUUGGUGGUAGUAGCAAAUACUCAAAUGAGAACUUUGAGGACUGAAGUGGGGAAAGGUUCCGUGUGAACAGCAGUUGGACACGGGUUAGUCGAUCCUAAGACAUAGGGAAACUCCGUUUUAAAGUGCGCACUUGUGCGCCGCCUGUCGAAAGGGAAG
This 355-nucleotide ribosomal RNA is filed under the name uncultured Verrucisporota. Its description in RNAcentral is "eukaryotic LSU rRNA". It matches the Rfam family "Eukaryotic large subunit ribosomal RNA", at positions 1307 to 1605 of the family's 3401-position model. The record is from RNAcentral. Lineage: Eukaryota; Fungi; Ascomycota; Dothideomycetes; Mycosphaerellales; Mycosphaerellaceae.